Zingiber officinale is the source of this 823-nucleotide long non-coding RNA. RefSeq lists it as uncharacterized. The transcript is spliced from 2 exons. Lineage: Eukaryota; Viridiplantae; Streptophyta; Magnoliopsida; Zingiberales; Zingiberaceae. The record is from RefSeq and is a predicted model, not a curated record.
AGCACUGAUGCCAUGCGGGACACGAUAGAGUUAGAGCUGUUUUGAUACACAUCUAAAGAACAUGCUCAAGAACGUAACUUUCAAGGGUAGGAAAAAACAAAAAGAAGUAAAUACCUGGGAGUUGCAGUGUAGCUGCAGCCAUUUCCUCCUGCAACCCCUGAAGAAGAUGCAUAUGGAUCAUAAGAAGAAGAAGAAAAAAAGAAGAAGAAGAAGAAAGUAGUGAAGGAGAUGCAUUGGGAUUGAGUGACUCACCAGGGUCAGUCGAGGAAAGCACAGCCGUGCCACUGAAAUCACAGGCGUCCUGUGCCUGCCCCUUCCUUUGGUAGUAGCUGUUGGCAGCGUAGGAGCAGUGAGCGAGCACUGUGUUGGGAUUGUAACAAGCUCCAUUUUGGAGAAUGGGAGUGCAGUCAGCUCCAGCUCCACAAGCGAAGUCCAGUGUCUUUUGCAGGGCAGUGGUGCUCAUGUCAGAUCUACAGACGCACCAAGCAGCAUCUGAAAAAACAAAGGAAAAGAAGAAGAAGAAAGGAAACACGAUUUGAAGAAGGAAGAAAUAGGGAAUGCUGAUGUAGAGGUUAACUACCUGAAGGGCUAAGAGAGGAGAGAGGAAUGAGGAGGAGAAGUAAGAAGGCAGCCAUGAUUGGGAGGGCAAAGGGAAGAGAGAUGGAGGAACCUCCAAAGCUUUGCUUCGUUCUGCUGUCUCUAUUGAUAGAGAGCUACUGAGCAAUGGCAGUUGUAACAUCCAUAAUUCUCUGCAUAUUUAUUACAACAUGCUCAGUUACAGCUCUAUCUAUUGUAACACCCAACUUACAGUUUGAGGGGCUCA